AGUGAACGCUGGCGGUAGGCCUAACACAUGCAAGUCGAACGGCAGCACAGUAAGAGCUUGCUCUUACGGGUGGCGAGUGGCGGACGGGUGAGGAAUACAUCGGAAUCUACUUUUUCGUGGGGGAUAACGUAGGGAAACUUACGCUAAUACCGCAUACGACCUACGGGUGAAAGCAGGGGAUCUUCGGACCUUGCGCGAUUGAAUGAGCCGAUGUCGGAUUAGCUAGUUGGCGGGGUAAAGGCCCACCAAGGCGACGAUCCGUAGCUGGUCUGAGAGGAUGAUAAGCAAACCUGAAACUGAGACACGGUCCAGACUCCUACGGGGGCAGCAGUGGGGAAUAUUGGACAAUGGGCGCAAGCCUGAUCCAGCCAUACCGCGUGGGUGAAGAAGGCCUUCGGGUUGUAAAGCCCUUUUGUUGGGAAAGAAAAGCAGCAGGUUAAUACCCCGCUGUCCUGACGGUACCCAAAGAAUAAGCACCGGCUAACUUCGUG
RNAcentral lists this ribosomal RNA (491 nucleotides) under uncultured bacterium. RNAcentral describes it as "partial 16S ribosomal RNA". It matches the Rfam family "Bacterial small subunit ribosomal RNA", at positions 29 to 507 of the family's 1533-position model. The record is from RNAcentral.